GUGAAUCAUCGAAUCUUUGAACGCAAAUUGCACUCUCUUCGGAGAGUAUGGCUGUUUGAGGGGCAGCCUAAAAAAAAUCGUCAUAGUUUCUGUUUCGCGGUGACAUUCGUUGGCAAUUGGUUCAUCUUAAACCUUUGGGUUUUGAGCGGCAUAAAGUUUUCUUUGCGCUUUCACGAACGAUUCUAAUGUUUUACUUCUUACUCGUUUAAGGUAUUGAUCUUUAUUAGAGGUGCCCGUUGCAUC
This 243-nucleotide unclassified non-coding RNA is filed under the name Glomus sp. Its description in RNAcentral is "partial contains 5.8S ribosomal RNA and internal transcribed spacer 2". The stretch from base 1 to 65 matches the Rfam family "5.8S ribosomal RNA", at positions 84 to 154 of the family's 154-position model. Lineage: Eukaryota; Fungi; Glomeromycota; Glomeromycetes; Glomerales; Glomeraceae. The record is from RNAcentral.